GCUCGUAGUUGAAAUUCGAGUCAGUUACUAGUUGGCUCUUCGUCAGUUAGUUAAUUGAUUCUCCGUCUACAAUCCCUUUUGCGCUUUAGGGUUGCAGCUGGGCGAGUAGACAAUUUACCUUGAAAAAAUUAGAGUGUUCCAGGCAGGUCUUCGCCGGAAUACAUUAGCAUGGAAUAAUGGAAUAGGACUUGGGUCUUUUGUUGGUUUUAGGAUCUGAGUAAUGAUUAAUAGGGACAGAUGGGGGCAUUAGUAUUUAAUUGUCAGAGGUGAAAUUCUUGGAUUUAUUAAAGACUAACUUAUGCGAAAGCAUUUGCCAAGGAUGUUUU
This 326-nucleotide ribosomal RNA is filed under the name Paramecium novaurelia. RNAcentral's name for it is "SSU rRNA". It matches the Rfam family "Eukaryotic small subunit ribosomal RNA", at positions 626 to 970 of the family's 1831-position model. The record is from RNAcentral. Lineage: Eukaryota; Ciliophora; Oligohymenophorea; Peniculida; Parameciidae.